CACGAAGUUAGCCGGGGCUUCUUCUCACGCUACCGUCAUCAUCGUCGCGUGCGAAAGAGCUUUACAACCCGAAGGCCUUCAUCACUCACGCGGCAUUGCUGGAUCAGGCUUGCCGCCCAUUGUCCAAUAUUCCCCACUGCUGCCUCCCGUAGGAGUCUGGGCCGUGUCUCAGUCCCAGUGUGGCUGAUCAUCCUCUCAGACCAGCUAAGGAUCGUUGCCUUGGUAGGCCGUUACCCCACCAACAAGCUAAUCCUACGCGGGCCCAUCCCAUGGCGAAUAAAUCUUUGUCCCGCAGGACACAUACGGUAUUAGCUCCAGUUUCCCGGAGUUAUUCCGUACCACAGGCAGGUUCCCACGCUUACGUCACCCGUGCGCCACUAGGGCCGAAGCCCCUCGUUUCGACUUGCAUGUGUUAGGCAUGCCGCCAGCGUUCGUUCUUCGAGUCCGAGGAUCGAAACUCCU
Molecule: ribosomal RNA, 462 nt
Filed under: uncultured Skermanella sp.
Lineage: Bacteria; Pseudomonadati; Pseudomonadota; Alphaproteobacteria; Rhodospirillales; Azospirillaceae
Description: partial 16S ribosomal RNA
Source: RNAcentral